ACGGGGGGCAGCAGGCGCGAAACCUUUAAAAGAACGAAAGUGUGAUAAGGGAAUCCUAAGUGCUUACGCACUAGCGUAGGCUUUUGCCGAAUGUAAAUAAUUCGGAGAAUAAGUGGUGGGUAAGACUGGUGCCAGCAGCCGCGGUAA
Molecule: ribosomal RNA, 147 nt
Filed under: uncultured archaeon
Lineage: Archaea
Description: partial 16S ribosomal RNA
Rfam family: Archaeal small subunit ribosomal RNA
Source: RNAcentral